Molecule: long non-coding RNA, 1306 nt
Filed under: Sorghum bicolor (sorghum)
Lineage: Eukaryota; Viridiplantae; Streptophyta; Magnoliopsida; Poales; Poaceae
Description: long non-coding RNA (SBIC_LNC013575)
Source: RNAcentral
CUCAGCAACCGUUUCCCCCGCAACGGCGCCAAAAAUGCUUGUUGACACUUGCUAACACCACUUGAAUACUAGGUUGUCAUCCCCAGCAUGGCACUAGAGUGUACUAUGGUAUUUAUACGCACACAGAUAAUCCACAAGCGCACGGAUACCGUUGAAGCUUUUACCCGGUUAAAGGUUUUAUCGUAUCCACAGGGAAACGGAAAAACUGAUCUACGCUCUAACUUAACCAAGAAAAGUAAAUAGGUGUAAAUAGGAAAGAUGGUAGAAUCGAAUAAGAACAAUAUUAAAGGUAAGAUAAGAGUGAGUGAUAAUAUGGGAAUAGAGAGUAGAGCAAUCUAUUAUAUGGGCGAUGGUAGCAGAAUAGAGAGGAUAACUAUGGUUUCUCUACUUUAAAGGGGUAUGUCUAUGUCUGGGACGAACCACGUGAUAAGAUUACACCACAAAGGAUGCUUAUCCAUAGGCCGAUAAACCCUACCCAUCCUGCUAACGAAAGGUGGACUACAGAGGACCAACGUAACUGUCACCUACGCGGCCUACCACACGAUCUAGCUAGACAGGGGAUAUCCACAAGUAAUCUAGGUCUAAGCACCACGCUUACACCUAUACUACAACUCUAACCUAUAGCGUCCUAUAGAUUAGAAGUACUCAAAAGAGUUGUGAACCAGAACAUACAUGAUUAGUAAUUGCAUAAUGAACUAGAAGUAGAUUACCAGAGUCAUCCCAUGAGCAAGCUUGAUUAGAGCUUGAUCAUGACGAAGUACAACCGGAGGAAGAACCGACAGGCCGGCCUCUCCUCUAAUCCUCUUUCGCUCUCCAUCUCGCUACUAUUUAGAUCUACUCUAGUUUAGAGAAGAGAGGAGAACUCUCAUCUCUAAACCCUAGCUUUUGCUCUGUCUAUGAAUAAUGAAUAAUGAUCAAGGGGUGCCUCCUCCAGGGGCCAGGGGGUCUGGUUAUAUAGUCCCCUCAAGUGAACCUGGGCCGUCGGAUCAAACCGACAUUGAUUGAACGGUUAUUCUUGAUCCUUUAGGUCGGUGGAGAUCUUCCGAGAGAAAGAGUCCUGAUUGGGCUCCAAGUCAGGGCGGGCGCCCAGGGCAGGAGGGCGGGCGCCCUACCUCUAGCCCCGUUCGGCCUCCGCUUCCUUCCCGUGGCUUCUGGAGUCUUCUAGAUGUAAGAUAAUUGCGUGACACGUUAAUAUCUCUAUGUAAUCCCGACGUGUGGGCCUUUCUUCCGUAUUUCCGGAUAACCCCCUGCAGAAAUAGACAAACACCAAAACUCGUGGAAUUCUGUCAGAUAAAACCCUAAGUCU